This 1931-nucleotide long non-coding RNA is filed under the name Salmo salar (Atlantic salmon). Its description in RNAcentral is "lncRNA (ENSSSAG00000102355.1, ENSSSAG00000112344.1)". Lineage: Eukaryota; Metazoa; Chordata; Actinopteri; Salmoniformes; Salmonidae. The record is from RNAcentral.
CGCCAAGUCUAGGUCCAAGAGGCUUCUGAACAGCUUCUACUCUCAAGCAAUAAGACUCCUGAACAUCUAAUCAAAUGGCCACCCAGACUAUUUGCAUUGCCCCCCCCUGCUCUUUUACAUUGCUGCUACUCUCUGUUGUUAUCAUCAAUGCAUAGUCACUUUAAUAACUCUACCUACAUGUACAUAUUACCUCAACUAACCGGAGCCCUCGCACAUUGACUCUGUACCUGUACCCCCCUGUAUAUAGUCUCGCUAAUGUUACUUUACUGCUGCUCUUUAAUUACUUGUUACUUUUAUUUCUUAUUCUUAUUCAUAUUUUAUUUAAACUACAUUGUUGGUUAGGGGCUCGUAAGUAAGCAUUUCACUGUAAGGUUGUAUUCGGCGCAUGUGACUAAUACAAUUAGAUUUGAUUUUGAUUUGAAAAACAUUUAUUUGAUUUCAUAUCCAUUUUCAUUUUAGUAAUUUAACAGACGCUCUUAUCCAGAGUUAGUGCAUUCAUCUUAAGGGAGGGAGGGGGAUAAGACUGACUGAGAUGUCUUGCAGUAUUUAAGAUAGUGGUACAGCACUCAUCUAGAAUUCCCCUACUCAGACUAUAGCAACAACAAAAACUUAUUGAAAGACACAAAUACUUGCAGAGAUGAGUUGUCUUCCCAGACUAUAAAUGAGCACAUGGUAGUUCUAAUAUGGUGUCCAUACACAUGACUGUCCUAAAAUGGACACCAUAUUCUCAUUAAUGUUUGUGACCUGUUAUAACAGAAAUUAUGUCAUGCUCAUGCCAGAUACUGCGAAUAACAAGGAUCAUUACCAAGUUUUGUUUCUAUGGCGUUUGCAUGAUGCCUGUGUAUUGACGAUACUAUGAAAAAAAUCUGCUCUGGUGGUCCCUUUCUCAACUGUCACCAAGUUUAACGUUGAGUGUUGGCUGGCCGUGAUGUGUCCUAGACAGCCAGGAUGUGUCCCCAAUGGCACUCUGUUCCCUACAUAGUGUACUACUAUGGGUCCUGGUCAAAAGUAGUGCACUACAUAGGAAAUAGGGUGUUAUUUUGGACGUAGCCCCAGUGUUUGGAGACAGCUCCUCCACCCUGGCAAACAGGAGCCUAGCAAUUACAUCGGAUCUCCAGGAGACAAACAAGGACUUAUCAAAGGCCUUCAGCACCAAACCAAAGCAGACUUUGAGUUAGUGCCUGUGUGUGUUUGUUUGUCUCUGUGUGGGUGCGUGAAUGCGCGCGUGUGUACGGUGGGGGGUAUAGAGAGAGAUAAAAACUAAACAAUCCACUAUAUAUUAGGUGCCACCUUAGCAGCCAAACACUCUGUAGUUACCCUCCAGUACCCUCCAGCAAAACACACUCUGUAGGUACCCUCCAGUACCCUCCAGCCAAACACACUGUACAGUAGGACCCUCCAGCCAAACACUCUGUAGGUUCCCUCCAGCCAAAGACAUUGUAGGUUCCCUCCAGCCAAACACAUUGUAGGUCCCUCCUGCCAAACACUCUGUAGGUUCCCUCCAGUGAAACACACUAUACAGUGUCUCCCUCCAGCCAAAUACACUGUAGGUACCAUCUUGCCACUGAAAAUGUUGUUUGUGAAAUGCUUAACCGGGACCCUGACCUAGACUAAAUGUAUUCAUAAAAAUGCCAGGCCCAAACUUGUCACGCUCGGGCUACAAAUCCAAACUGUACAGGAACGGACCACCACAUCAGGGAUGGAAAUUGGUAUAUGAGAAUUAUAUUUUGGUGCAUCAGAUGACCUGGCCUCCACAAUCAACCGACCUCAACCCAAUUGAGAUGGUUUGGGAUGAGUUGGACCACAGAGUGAAGGAAAAGCAGCCAACUGGUGCUCAGCAUAUGUGGGAACUCCUUCAAGACUGUUGGGAAAGCAUUCCAGGUGAAGCUGGUUGAGAGAAUGACAUAGUGUGCAAAGCUGUCAUCAAGGCA